AUGGCCGCCGCCGACCGCAUCUCCGCCCUCCCAAACGACGUUCUCGUGCGCAUCCUGUCCUUCGCGCCGACGAACGAGGCGGCGGCCACCACCCUCCUUUCGCGUCGGUGGCGAUCGGUGUGGCGCCGGACGAGCGCCGUCAACCUCGACAGCAGGCCCUACGCAAAAGCAGAGCGAGACCUCUACUACGGUACUCCGACGCUUGAGGAUUUCUUCGAUGACGCCCACGACAUCCUCGCAGCGCUCCGCCAGCCGCGCAAAGGAUCCCGCCGCCGCCGCCAUGGCGCGGGCCUCAAGACGCUCAAGCUCUUCCUGGAGGAAGGAGCCUACUACAUCAGCAAGAGCUGGCGUACGGAGGGCCACGAGGCCGAACCGGGCCACAGGGUCGCCAAACUCCUCGCCGACCCUGCCGUGGCGCGGUUGGAAGAGCUCAGCAUCGGCUGCGGGCAGGGCCAUACAAGAGAGUACCGUUACUUCCCGCCGCUGGCGUCCCUGCCGUGCGCGGCCACGCUCCGGGUGCUGGAGCUCACGAACUGCAACCUAGAGCCGCCGUCGACGGUGCCAUCCUCUGGCCUGGCUUUCCCGUGCAUGACAGAUCUGACGUUGCGGAACUGCUUUUUCUUGGAGGGGUAUCUUCAGGACAUGGUCGACGCCGCGGCGGCGCUCACCAGCAUGACGCUGGUGAAUGUCAGGCAAAAGGCGGCGGAGACGCCGGGUUCUGACGAGAGAUUCUACGAGUGGGACUACUUCAGGCUGCCACUACGCCUCCGAUGCCCGACGGUCACCGCCUUGGUGCUCGUGACCUUUGUCGACAAGAAGGAGGUCAAGGCGUCCGCCGCUGGCGGCAGCGGCAUCGAGCUCGACAUGCCCAGCCUCCGCUUCUUCCGGUUCCAGGGAUACCCCGUCAAGCUCUCGCUCAUGUCGCCGGCGCUGGGGCUCACGCGAGUUGAUUUCGAUGUGGCUCACCGCCAUCAGGGUGGCUGCGAGAUCAUGAAUUACGAGCCGCUGUCCUGCAUGAUCACAAGCUUCUCGACCACGAGGGCCCUCAAGGUGCGCCUCAGUUUCAUCGAGGACAUCGUCGCCGACGAGGAUGGGGACGCCGGGGUCAUCCUGCCAAUGUUCCCAAACUUGAAGCUCCUGGAACUAGACGGAGAGUACCAGUACAUGAACAGCGACACGGCCGCGGCAACGGCGAGGCUGCUCCGCUCCUGCCCGGUGAUGUCCGAGCUCCGGCUCAGGUUGGCCAUGCGGUACAACUACUGGUACGAUCGCAAGCACAAGGACCCAGUUGGGGGGCCCUUCGGCGAGUCCAUGGACAGGUUUGAGAGGCUCGCGUGCAGGUCGUCGGCCGUGGACCUCGGCGGGGUGUCGGAGCUCCCGGACCCCCUGACCAACAACUGCGCGUUCCGCUGUCUGCAGACGAGCCUCCGGAAGGUGACGUUGCGGUUCAAGGCCAAGGAGGUGAACUGCUUCCCGGUGCAGCUCGCCAAGUUCCUCGCGGAGAACGCCAUGGUGCUCGAGGAAAUGCACGUCGAGGACGGCAACCAGUUCUGGACGGACCACCUGUGCCACAAGGUUGGGAUGUGGAGAGCCGAGUCAUUCCGGAGGAAGAACCUGCCGGACACGGCCGCCGGCUUUCGGGUGUAA
RNAcentral lists this ribosomal RNA (1647 nucleotides) under Triticum aestivum (bread wheat). Its description in RNAcentral is "partial small subunit ribosomal RNA". The record is from RNAcentral. Lineage: Eukaryota; Viridiplantae; Streptophyta; Magnoliopsida; Poales; Poaceae.